GAAUGUGUAUUCUGCUGAUUUGGGGUAGAGAGUUCUAUAGAUGUCUAUUAGGUCUGCUUAGUCGAGAGCUGAGUUCAAAUCCUGAAUAUCUUUGUUAAUUUUCUGUCUCGUUGAUCUAUCUAAUAUUGACAAUGGGGUGUUACAUCUCUUUGUAGGUCUCUUAGAACUUGCUUUAUGAAUCUGGGUGCUCCUCUAUUGGGUGCAUAUAUACUUAGGAUAGUUAG
Molecule: long non-coding RNA, 224 nt
Filed under: Homo sapiens (human)
Lineage: Eukaryota; Metazoa; Chordata; Mammalia; Primates; Hominidae
Description: non-protein coding lnc-EBF3-10:1
Source: RNAcentral